RNAcentral lists this ribosomal RNA (377 nucleotides) under uncultured eukaryote. Its description in RNAcentral is "partial 18S ribosomal RNA". It matches the Rfam family "Eukaryotic small subunit ribosomal RNA", at positions 592 to 976 of the family's 1831-position model. The record is from RNAcentral.
CAAUAGCGUAUAUUUAAGUUGCUGCAGUUAAAAAGCUCGUAGUUGGAUUUCGGGUGGGAAUGGCCGGUCCGCCGUUUCGGUGUGCACUUGCUACGCCCACCUUGCUGCCGGGGACGUGCUCUUGAGUUCACGCUCGGGACACGGAGUCGGCGAGGUUACUUUGAGUAAAUUAGAGUGUUCAAAGCAGGCCUACGCUCUGAAUACAUUAGCAUGGAAUAACACGAUAGGACUCUGGCCUAUCUUGUUGGUCUGUAGGACCGGAGUAAUGAUUAAGAGGGACAGUCGGGGGCAUUCGUAUUGCGGUGUUAGAGGUGAAAUUCUUGGAUCAUCGCAAGACGAACAACUGCGAAAGCAUUUGCCAAGCAUGUUUUCAUUAG